UGCUUAAGCUUAGUGCUGCUGCUGAAGUAUCAUUGGAAUAAGCUUUCUAGCUUAUGAUAGACUAACAAAGCAAAUCCAUGUGAUAUAAUUUGCAUGUGUUGAUUUGGAUCAAGUUUUGUUCAGUUUAUGUGUAUAAUAGGCACCAAGAACUGGGUACUAGGGCUUUAUGUUGUGCUUUUUCCUUUACUUUGUUUACUGUUAUCUGCUUGCACCAAAUGUAUGGUGAAAGAAAUGAACUCGGCCAGUUUCUGCAAUUGUUUUUGGCUUAUUCCAGGUUUCUGUGGCUAAUUUGUGUCCUUUCCAACAUUUGCAUGAUAGCAUUGUGCUUUUGAAAGUAAUAUUUUUCUGGUGUUUGCAGUAUGUGAG
Molecule: unclassified non-coding RNA, 366 nt
Filed under: Hevea brasiliensis (rubber tree)
Lineage: Eukaryota; Viridiplantae; Streptophyta; Magnoliopsida; Malpighiales; Euphorbiaceae
Source: RNAcentral